RNAcentral lists this transfer RNA (107 nucleotides) under Burkholderia glumae. Its description in RNAcentral is "tRNA-Gly". RNAcentral also lists the same sequence under 1 other name. Lineage: Bacteria; Pseudomonadati; Pseudomonadota; Betaproteobacteria; Burkholderiales; Burkholderiaceae. The record is from RNAcentral.
GUCGCGAUGGUCAAUCCGGAUGAUCAAUUUCAUUAAAGCGAUUGAUUUAUAUGAUUUCGCAUCGGCCUGCCAAGCCGCGUAGGCCGGUUCGACUCCGGCUGGCGACG